UGUGAGAUUGUUGAUUGUAGCACUGCCUGCAAAAAUGGGAUGCUACCAUUUCUGUUCUAUGAAAAAUGCCACUAAUUCUAAUAUUCAUCUUGGAUGCCAUUAAAGAGUCUAUCUUCAUUUGUGGUCAUGUAUGCUUGUCCUCUACUUGCAACUAUGCAUUUUGACUGAUCUCUCUCUCUCUCUCUUUAAGCUAAGCUUAUUAGUCCUGUAUGUUAUUGUUACUAUUUCUGCAAUUUACAAUGGUAGGCGCUGGAUACGUGCCACAUUCUGCAAUGUGGGGCCAUUCUGAUUCCCACCAAUUAUUGCCUUCAACUAGUAGUUGCUAGCUUGAUGGUUAAGUGGGAUAACUAUGCAUGGACCCGUUGAAAGGUGAGUCAUGCUUUUCUAAUAUAAGAAAUGAAUAGGUCGAUGGUUUAUGUAGUUAUAGCUACUACCUUGUAGCCACCAUACUUCUUCAAUGAGAAUGUGAAUCUGGGGCUUGAUACUCGGAUGAGAUUGACCUGCUGAUACAAAUUCAAAGUUUGUGUACAUUUCUUGAUCAUGGAAUUUUUAUAAGCCUUCGCUGUGGCAACUUAAAUUGUAAUUUGAUGAUAGCCAAAACUUGUAGAACCAUAUGUUCGUGAAUUUUUAAGCUCUCGGAGCUUCUUGGGGUCUGGAAGCUGCUCUGACAUAGAAGUAUUGAAGAUGAUAGGAAAUGCAAAGAUUUAUCAGUAAAUUAAGGGUAAAAACAGCAUUCUAAUGCAUGAGGCUUAUGCUAUUAUGGGGUCAGAUGUAUGCAACUUUAUUUCUGUCUAUAAAAAUGUUAUUUCUGUA
Molecule: non-coding RNA, 813 nt
Organism: Phoenix dactylifera (date palm)
Lineage: Eukaryota; Viridiplantae; Streptophyta; Magnoliopsida; Arecales; Arecaceae
Source: RefSeq, a predicted model, not a curated record